RNAcentral lists this ribosomal RNA (391 nucleotides) under uncultured bacterium. RNAcentral describes it as "bacterial SSU rRNA". It matches the Rfam family "Bacterial small subunit ribosomal RNA", at positions 131 to 518 of the family's 1533-position model. The record is from RNAcentral.
UUAUACAGGAACAUAACGUUGAGAAAUCGGCGCUAACAUUCCAUAAUAUUAUUUGUAGGCAUCUAAUGAAUAAUUAAAACUCCGGUGGUAUAAGAUGGGCACGCGUUCCAUUAGCUAGUUGGUAAGGUAACGGCUUACCAAGGCAACGAUGGAUAGGGGUUCUGAGAGGACUAAUCCCCCACACUGGAACUGAGACACGGUCCAGACUCCUACGGGAGGCAGCAGUAAGGAAUAUUGGGCAAUGGAGGCAACUCUGACCCAGCCAUGCCGCGUGCAGGAAGACGGCCCUAUGGGUUGUAAACUGCUUUUAAUAGGGAUUAAAGUCGACUACGUGUAGUUGUUUGCAAGUACCUAUAGAAUAAGCAUCGGCUAACUCCGUGCCAGCAGCCGC